UGGGAGUGACCAAUGAGUCCAAGCUCUCUC
Molecule: non-coding RNA, 30 nt
Filed under: Mus musculus (house mouse)
Lineage: Eukaryota; Metazoa; Chordata; Mammalia; Rodentia; Muridae
Source: RNAcentral